RNAcentral lists this non-coding RNA (25 nucleotides) under Mus musculus (house mouse). Lineage: Eukaryota; Metazoa; Chordata; Mammalia; Rodentia; Muridae. The record is from RNAcentral.
UGAAAUGAUGAGGUACAUAGAAUUG